AGAGUUUGAUCAUGGCUCAGAACGAACGCUGGCGGCGUGGAUUAGGCAUGCAAGUCGAACGCGAAAGAGGGGGCAACUCCUCGAGUAGAGUGGCGAACGGGUGAGUAACGCGUGAAGAACCUGCCUUCGAGAGGGGGAUAACACUCCCAACGGGGUGCUAAUACCGCAUGAGACCACGGAGCUGCAUGGCUCUGUGCUCAAAGGUGGCCUCUAUUUAUAAGCUACCGCUCGAAGAUGGCUUCGCGUCCCAUUAGCUUGUUGGCGGUGUAAAAGACCACCAAGGCGACGAUGGGUAGCUGGUCUGAGAGGAUGGUCAGCCACACUGGGACUGAGAUACGGCCCAGACUCCUACGGGAGGCAGCAGUCGAGAGGCUUCGGCAAUGGGGGAAACCCUGACCGAGCGACGCCGCGUGGGGGAUGAAGGCCCUUGGGUUGUAAACCCCUUUUAUUCGGGAAGAAAUGCGAUCAGGUGAAUAAUCUGGUCGUUUGACGGUACCGAAUGAAUAAGCUCGGCUAACUCGUGCCAGCAGCCGCGGUA
RNAcentral lists this ribosomal RNA (538 nucleotides) under uncultured Planctomycetota bacterium. RNAcentral describes it as "bacterial SSU rRNA". It matches the Rfam family "Bacterial small subunit ribosomal RNA", at positions 8 to 522 of the family's 1533-position model. Lineage: Bacteria; Pseudomonadati; Planctomycetota. The record is from RNAcentral.